ACGUUGGAGAGUUUGAUCCUGGCUCAGGACGAACGCUGGCGGCGCGCCUAAUCCAUGCAAGUCGAGCGACGCAUUCUUUGCCCGUAAGGGCGGGUUUGACGGAGCGGCGAACGGGUGCGUAACACGUGACCAAUCUGCCCCGAAGACCGGGAUAGCCCGGGGAAACCCGGAUUAAUACCGGAUAAUCUCAUCAUCACGCAUGUGAAGGUGAGCAAAGGUUCAGGCGCUUCGGGAUGAGGUCGCGGCCCAUCAGCUAGUUGGUGAGGUAACGGCUCACUCAAGGCAAUGACGGGUAGCUGGUCUGAGAGGACGAUCAGCCACACUGGAACUGAGAUACGGUCCAGACUCCUACGGGAGGCAGCAGGAGGGAAUCUUGCGCAAUGGGCGAAAGCCUGACGCAGCGACGCCGCGUGGGGGAUGAAGGCCCUAGGGUUGUAAACCCCUUUCACGAGGGAAGAAAAUGACGGUACCUCGAGAAGAAGCCCCGGCCAACUACGUGCCAGCAGCCGCGGUAAUACGUAGGGGGCGAGCGUUGUCCGGAUUUAUUGGGCGUAAAGGGCUCGUAGGCGGCUUGGCAAGUCGGCCGUGAAAACCCAGGGCUCAACCCUGGGACGCCGGUCGAUACUGCCAUGGCUAGGGUCCGGUAGAGGGGAAUGGAAUUCCCGGUGUAGCGGUGAAAUGCGCAGAUAUCGGGAGGAACACCAGUAGCGAAGGCGGUUCCCUGGGCCGGCACCGACGCUGAGGAGCGAAAGCGUGGGGAGCAAACAGGAUUAGAUACCCUGGUAGUC
RNAcentral lists this ribosomal RNA (788 nucleotides) under bacterium. RNAcentral's name for it is "bacterial SSU rRNA". It matches the Rfam family "Bacterial small subunit ribosomal RNA", at positions 1 to 795 of the family's 1533-position model. The record is from RNAcentral.